GACGAACGCUGGCGGCGUGCUUAACACAUGCAAGUCGAACGGAAAGGCCCUGCUUUUGUGGGGUGCUCGAGUGGCGAACGGGUGAGUAACACGUGAGUAACCUGCCCUUGACUGUGUGAUAACUUCAGGAAACUGGGGCUAAUACCGGAUAGGAGCUCCUGCUGCAUGGUGGGGGUUGGAAAGUUUAGGCGGUAGGGGAUGGACUCGCGGCUUAUCAGCUUGUUGGUGGGGUAGUGGCUUACCAAGGCUUUGACGGGUAGCCGGCCUGAGAGGGUGACCGGCCACAUUGGGACUGAGAGACGGCCCAGACUGCUACGGGAGGCAGCAGUGGGGAGUAUUGCACAAUGGGCGGAAGCCUGAUGCAGCAACGCCGCGUGCGGGAUGACGGCCUUCGGGUGGUAAACCGCUUUCGCCUGUGACGAAGCGUGAGUGACGGUAAUGGGUAAAGAAGCACCGGCUAACUACGUG
RNAcentral lists this ribosomal RNA (468 nucleotides) under uncultured bacterium. RNAcentral describes it as "partial 16S ribosomal RNA". It matches the Rfam family "Bacterial small subunit ribosomal RNA", at positions 28 to 507 of the family's 1533-position model. The record is from RNAcentral.